Long non-coding RNA from Prionailurus viverrinus (fishing cat), 535 nucleotides. RefSeq lists it as uncharacterized. Lineage: Eukaryota; Metazoa; Chordata; Mammalia; Carnivora; Felidae. The transcript is spliced from 3 exons. The record is from RefSeq and is a predicted model, not a curated record.
CUAACCACUUGUAGUUAUUAAAAAUUCAGUUUCUCAGUUCCACUGACCACAUUUCAAGUACUUAAUAGCCACAUGACUACUGGACAGUGCAGAUAUAAAAUAUUUCCAUCAUUGCAGAAUGUACUCUUGGAUAGCACUGAUAAAGCUGAAAGAAACAAGGGACUAAGGCAGUAGGAUCGACUUGUGACUAGGACCUGUAACCAUGGCACCUUGUUCAAAUCCAGUGAUAAGAUCUUUCUCUGAACCUCACAUCUCCUCUAUAAAAUGGAAAUAAAAAUGGGAACUACCUCAUGGACUGCUGAGCAGAGGAAAUGAGAUAAGGGACAUCACGUCAUAUUGGAAACUAAGGAACUAGUUCCAUGCUCAUCUCUGGUUUUCUAGAAACAUAAGGCUCAACACCCCAUCCUGAAAUAAAUUCCAGCUUCCGCCUUCCUGUGUGAGGAAUCCUGACACACAUUCUACUUUCCCGGAAAUGGAGUGUCAUGUAUAUGUAUAGAAACAUAAAUAUGCACAUCGUGGAUUUGAAAACCAAAAU